This is a long non-coding RNA of Mus musculus (house mouse), 7561 nucleotides long. RefSeq annotates it as predicted gene, 51801. The record is from RefSeq and is a predicted model, not a curated record. The transcript is spliced from 3 exons. Lineage: Eukaryota; Metazoa; Chordata; Mammalia; Rodentia; Muridae.
GGAGUGAGUAUGAAAGCUAAAGGGCAGAGCCAGGCAGGCAAUGGUCAAAGUAAAACUGGGCCAUUCAUUCAGGCCUACCUAGGUGUAUACAUGUACCCCUAUGAGAGCACAUAGUGUGUGUGUGUGUGUGUGUGUGUGUGUGUGUGUGUGUGUGUGUACAGGCGUGUGCACAUUCAUCCUCCUCGAUUCUAUGGAUAUGCACAUAAGCAUACAGAUGUGGAGCGCAUGAACAUGGGGCCACCUAAGGCCAUCCGCCAGUGCCAGAUGGUUUGCAUCCAGAAAUGAAGCAGCAGACCCCAUUUCUGUGAGCAGCCUCCAGGUUUCUCACUUGCUCCGUGCAGCCUUCCUGCCUCUUCCAUAGAUAGGGAAGGUAUUCAGAGAUGGGUGGGAGAGGAGGGAGGGGCCAGAGAGAAACAGGCUCCCUGGGAGGGAGGGAGGGAGGGAGGGAGGGAGGGAGGGAGGGACAGACCGAUGGACGGACGGACGGCAUGGCUCUUCCCAUGCCUCUGCCUGCCUCUCUAUCUCUCCCAUCUGGCCUUUCCCCCUAACCCUUGGCUCUCCUCACCUUGGGCACCACAGGAUGCCCAAGGAGCCAAGUGUCUCCCAGGCCUUGGGCUCAGGAUCAGACAGGAGAAAGGUCAACAGGGCCCAAAUGCUCAGGGCUUGCUCUGGAAGCCAUGAGUGCCACUCCCCACCCCACCCCCACCCCCACUUGGCUUUUUGUGGGAGCAGGCAAAGGAUGACAGCUCAGUCCUAGCCCCUUCUUCAACAGCAUCUCGGUGCAGGGCUUGUCCGCCCAGAGCCUCCUUUCCCGAAGAUGGGAAAUAAGCUGAGAAUGGCCAAAUAGCUGAGGCCAGCCAAGAUGACCAGACUGGUGUGGAAGUAGGUACCAGCCUUUUUCAGGGACUGUCUCCUGCUGCUCCUAUUUUUUUCCCCUUGGGAAGAGGGGGUGGUAUGGUUGUAAAGUGGAAGAGAAAAAGCAUGGGGUUGCACGCCUACAAUUCCAGCAGUAAGGAACUGAGGCAGGAGGCUAUCCAAUUCCAGGCUCCAUAUUGACCCCAUUUCAAGGACAGAGGAUCUUGUGAUUGUCUGGUGUUUGGGGAGCAGCCGUCUUUGACCAUCAAGAUCUGUGUCCUCAACAGCCACCUGCUAAAACAGUGGAGUGGGCCGGACCCGAGGUGAUCUAGAAUCCUCUAUGAUCCUGCCACUCGGAAGCACCUGCUGAGGGCUUUGGAGUCCACUCACAGACUUCAGUCACAACCCACUGUAGAGUCCUUGGAACUCAGUACAAAGUGGCUCCUUAAAGCUUAAGGCCGAGAAUGUCUGAUUAGGAACUCAAGUGAUGGUGGGGAGGGCUUUUAAGAAUCCAUCCACACACACCCCAGGGGGGGUGUCUCCGUGCUGCCUUAGGAGGCAGAGGAGAUCUUUCUGAAGAGGAGUACCAUUCGAGAAUCCAGCUAAGCCCUGUGACCCCACUGCACAGUUGGCGAGGCUCUGGAGGGAUGCCUGGUUCAUAAUCCCUUGCAACCCAGCCCCUCCCUCUGGGAGGCUGGAAGCAGUCAGCCAGAGGGUGAGGACAGGAGGCCCUGCAGCUACCCUGGGUCCCAGGGUCCCAGAGUAGUCCCCGUCCCCUCCCCUCGUUAGUGCCUCAGGCACAUUCCUGGCCUCUGAAGCUCAGUCACCUCUCACUUGGCCUCCCUCAAAGGAACAUGCUCCACAUUGAUGCUGUUAUAUCAACAAGAGACUCAGAUUCAGGGCUGUGUCCACUGUGUGAGACCUGGGCAAACAGAUGGAGACAGGUACCUAGGGGAUGUUGCCGCCUCCCACCUCUUUUCCCCUCUCAGGAAUUUCCUCCAAGGGUAAAAAUGUGCUUCUCAUUGCUCCCUGCAUGCCAGGAGCCUGGCCUGGGCUCAGGUAUGCCCGUGUCAACGCCCUGCCAAGGCCGGGCCAGACCAGAGCAUGACCUCCCGUGAUUCUAACAGGAUCUGGGCCACCCCCACCCACUCAGUCCUUGGAUUCUACACCAGCAGUGGUCCCUGCUGUGUGUAUAGAAUUCAUACACAGUGGGUGGAGAAGAAGAGAGAGGCCAAGGGUCUGGGCUCUACUGUAAACCGUCUCUGGCCUUGGCUUCCCAAUGGAACCACCAGAGGUGAAUCAAGGUUGCCAUGCCAUUCUCUAAGGAAGACCCCAGCCAUGAGCUGAGGAGACUUGGAAGGACAACAGACCACAGGAGCAGACAAGAGUCUCAGGCACCUGGCCUUCAAGACCCCUUUCUUCAUAGGAUGAGCAUCCGGCUGAGCCCUCACAUCCAUCACCACACCACCCUGUUCUGGAGAUGCCAACCCUCUGAUGGGAGAAGAGUCAGAAACCAGGGUGGAGGAGGAGGCUGGUGAAGGACCUGGCUUGCUCCCAACCCAAAUUAUAGAAUCCCUUCUGACCCACCUUGGGGUUCUCACAAACCCACACCUCCUUACAACAUAUGCACAGAUUGUCCCUACGUGCUGAUUUAGAGGUUGGGAGCAGGAGGGAACCCUUUUGCUGCUUUUCCGUGUUACUGGCCUAUUGGCAGGCAACAAGACAUGGGACUUGCAUACGGUCAGCAGAUGGAAACCCCGACCUGUAGCUUCCAGGAUCACCAUGAAGCCUGAGAUACACACACCCAGAUCGGUAGCAGAUGAGGGAACGAAUCAAGUCGAUGUACCAUCCUUGACAUAAAGAAUGAGGACGGUUGUGGCCAGCUCCAAAGACAGUAUUCUAUCUGAUGCUUUCCAUCUUAAAGGGGUGGCCUUCGGGGGGUGCCCUCCUUCCUGGGAUAAACUUCCUUAGUGCACACUCAUGUCAGUCUCACAGUCUGAAGCUCAGGCUCAAAGGGCUGACGUGCCGUGCUUAACAUCCUGUGGGAAGAACCUGAGCCCAGGUCAAGCUGUCCUAGAACUCUUCACUCCCUGUCCCUCUUUGGAUAGUACUAGGCUAGGACAAGGCUGCUGGCAGGCUGCUGAAGACACUGGGUCUUUGUCAUCCCUCCAAGGAGAUGCUGCCCCUUUCUGAGACAGCCUUGGAAGCUGAUAGGACACUAGCCAGGGCACACUUGGUUUGUUACAGUUGACCCUUCCUCCCUGAUUCAGUAGAGAUGAGGAACUGUCAGAUCUCCUGAACACAAAGCCGGAUUACAUUGACCUGUAUCCAAAUCCAAGUUCUGGGGCUCAGUGGGUAGGAUGCUUGCCUGGUGUGCACUGAAGCCUGAGUUCAAUUCUCAGUGCUGGUGAAACUAGGCUCAGUGGUGCGUGCUUGUAAGCCCUCGCCUGGGAUCCCUGAGCCUGUCUCAGAGGAACAAAACAACAGUGACACCCGAGUCCUGCCAAUCUUCCUAGCUGUGGAUCCCUCAAACCUCUGGAUGUCCCUGUAUCUUUGACCAUACAAGGAUAGAUGAUCAAGGGACAACUGUCUCCCCGGUUGUGGAGUGGUGCAGGAGGCAAUGCAUGCCGGGAAGGCUCACUGCCAUCGCCGGCUCAACAUGAAUUAGCAGCGUGCCUCUGGGUGCCAAACACUAUGCUCACCACUCACAAAUAUAAUUAAAAUUUAAUGGAAGUGGAGUGCAAAGCAGAGAAGAGCCAAGAAGAGCGAGAGAACAGUCAGUCCUUCCCAGCCAAGCUCUUUGGAGCCGACCCUAGAGAUGAGGUGUAAUGGCUUUCCCUUCUCAAGUGCCCAUAACCAUGAGGCCCUGCAAGCUGCGUUCCAAGACCCAUGCACAAGUCUGACCCAGCUCUGCAGGAGUGAAUUCAGAUAUGAAAACACUGAAGAGCAGGGCUCAUAAAAAAGCCUAAGACUGCCCUGGGCAGAGAACUUGGAAGCCACGAAGCCAGCCUCGGGCCACAACCUAACUACUCCAUCGUGAAUCCGCCCCUCCCUGGGAGAAGAGUGGCGGGCGUUAGAAAAGACCUACAGGCCCAGGAUGUGAAAUCCCGGUGCCCACUGGAGGGAAGGAUUACUCUGCUAGCAAAGCCUGCCUCUGAUAAUCCUGGUGCUCCCAGAGAGGAUGCUAAGCGGAAGGCCCUUCUCACGCACCGAGCCGGUCCCAGCAACACCGUAAAGCCUCACCCAACUCCUCCAUCUUCCCUGCUCAUCUGUCCACUGUUCGAUGGCACAGCCCCUCCUCCAUGUCCCUGAUGCCCUGGAUCCUGUUCCCUGAGCACCGCUCACCCUCUUGCUUGUCCCUCUCUCACCCAGCCAGACAGGUGGCCCUACACCAUCUGUGAUCACUUACGAGCCAGAGUCAAACUCAACCUGGCAGUCCCUUAGGGACUCCUCAAAAAUUGUCCCUUUUUCUCUCUCAAGAGCUGAUGUUUUCAUAUUCUUCAGAAGAGCUGACCCAAUGGGGAUGGAUACAGAGAUCUGUGCUAUAGCGUCUGACUAGAAGCCCCCCAGCUCUCAGCUCUCUCUCUCUCCUUUUUUUUUUUUUUUUUUUUUUUUUUUUGGUUUUUCAAGACAGGGUCUCUCGGAAUAGCCCUGGCUGUCCUGGAACUCACCUUGUAGACCAGGCUGGCCUUGAACUCAGAAAUCUACCUGCCUCUGCCUCCCAAGUGCUGGGAUUAAAAGCAUGUGCCACCACCGCCUGGCUGCCCCCCCCCCCCCCCCCGGCUCUUAGGUGGGGCCAGAAGCAUAUGCAGCACAGACAGGGUCCCUGGGCACAGUCUGUGUGCCAUACAACUCCACGAGGCACUGCUCUCACUCACUGUGGCGUGGCUAUAGUUAUGCAAGGUGGUGGCUCUGAGCUAGCAGCCUCCUUUCUCUGCCUUUGAGGAGAAGCUGCCAACAGAUUCCCUGAGGCCGAGCCCUCCUGUCUUGCCUGCCCUGUCCCAUUUCUCUGCCAGACUCCAGCCUCCUGCAGCCAGGGCUCCCCCAAAACUGGGCUUUAGAGAAAAAUCCGAGUUUUCAGAGCACGAAUCCUCCCAUCUCUGCCACUGUGUUCUCUGUGAAUCCUGCAGGCGCUGGUCCUGCGGUUUCAAUGCCAGUGCCUUUCUUCUGAUGGGGAUGGUGGUGGCACGGAUACAGGGAGACAGGUGGGCAGCCCUAAGCCGGGGGUCAAGCCAGUCAAGCAUUUAUUGGCACCCACUGUGCUGGCUGCUGGAAGCCUGGGUGGAUGAAGAGGAGAAGAACCUUUGAUUUUGAAACCCUCACCGUUCUGAUGAAGCGGUCGGUACUUUCCUCCUCUGACCUUCACUAGUCCCAGGCAGCUCAAGCAGCCAGUCAGGGAGUCAGAGGGAGGCCCAGACCGGUGACACAUGGAUUCCUUCCAGAGGAUCAGCUUGCUGCUGCCCCCUCAUUGCUGGACUGCGGACAGUGGCAGGAGACUGCGCUAAUCUGGGCUGGGCCUGCAGGUGCCCGAGGAAGGCCUUUGGUAGGGCAAAGAUGGAGAACAAGGGCCCACUAGGUGGUCCUGGGCCUGGAUGCCUGGUAUUGCUCCUUCCCCUUACUAAAGAAAUUACAGUCGCUUUGACUUGGAAAACAAAAACAUCCGAACCUCUUCCUCUUCCCAUGGUAUGUCUGGGUGCCUUAUGUAUGUUUACAAAAUGAUACCUAAACAGAUACCCCCAGCCGGUUUCUAGGCGGAAAAAAACGGUAAAUACCAUUUCUUCGUGCUCUAACAGUAUGCGUUCACGCGUUUCCCCAGCCCCCUGGGUCACUGACUGGGUAUCUCCUCCCUCCCUCUGGGUAACAACCAGCACCUUGCGAUAUUAAAACAAGCUCUCUCUUUAUUCUGAAACAGAAUGAAACUGUUGAAUAGAAAAACAUCUAAAAAAAAAAAAAACUUGUGGAUGCUCGAAGUUUAAAAAGAACAGUCAUGGUGUGGCUUAUACUAGGUGGGUCAAAAUCAAGAGUCUGGGGAAUGAGGAAUAAGAACCCAACGUAGAGGAGGCUUUCCGAGCGAGGUCAGGGCGUCAGCUAGCGCCAGAUCGAGGGGCGCUCUACAUUUCAGGGCCUCACCCCCACCCCAUCGCUGAGGUGCCCAGGGCGCAGCCACGCCCUCCCUUCCUCACCCCUGCCCACGCCACCAUCUGCGAGGCGGCCGUGGCUGCCCUGCGGGAGGGAACGCGCCUCCUAUUCCCUCCCUGAUCUACAGGUGCGGGUAAACAGAGCUGCGGCGCCGGCCGGUCCGCAGCCUCCUCCCCGCCCCCACCCGCAAAGCUUUGCCCAAGGUUAAGUCGGCUUGCGGCGGGCUUCUGCCAGGGACCCCAAACCAGCUCCUGGGGGCUCUCGCUUCUGCUUCUCAUGCCCACCGGACCAAGGAUGGGGUCCCCUUGCUUCACCGCCGAGCUUGGUCCAGGAAAACCAGCCUACCUGGCCUGGCUCUGGCGACCACCCUGAGAGAGAGAGAGGAGAGCGCCUCGGGCAUUUUCACUGUGCACCCCCCCCCCCGCGCGCCCCAUUAUGGACACGCCUUCCACCAUCUCUUGGAGGUUGGGGGAACCCUUCCCCAAACUCAACGCCCUGGCCACCGCUCAGUCCUUGAGCCUUCUGUCCCCUUCUUCCGAAGCCCAAGGAGGGGUCGGAGGACACCCUUGCGGCCGCUACCUUUCCUGCCGGCCCCACCCAGAUCCGCUCCCUCUGCCAAGAGCAGUGUGUGCAGUCUGCAGCAUUCACCCGGCAGGGGCCUAGCCCGGGGACCGAUGGCAAGGAGGUGGGGGUGGGGGGACAGGCGGGGCCCAGCAGCAGCCAGGGCCCGGGUCCCCACAUCCCGCACCCCUGCUCCGCGCCACGCCACAAGGCAGACCCCGUCGCGAGCGUGCGCCCCUAGAGCAUGUUCUCGUCUAGGACACUCCGGGAGGCUGCGGGAACUGAAGGUCCCAAAGCUGGUGGCCACGGGAACACCGGAGGGGCUCGGGGCUGGGACUCUCGGUGUUGUUUACACUUGGCGUAGUUAGCCUGGCAGGCCCGAGAGGCUCCGGCUCCGACACGCGGCGGUGGCUCCCAGCGCGCGGGGUCUCUGCUCCCGGCCUCCCCACCCACAACCCGCGCCCGGCCCGGCCCUCCGCGCCCCGCCGCUCACGUCUCGGAAGCGGUUCCAGUGCUUAAUCUUGCCGCUGUACUGCGAGAUGGACGACAGCCAUUGCUCGUCCUCCAUGAAAUUGCCGGGGGUCUCGCCCUCCUUGAGCCCCUUGGCGUCGCCUUCAGCCAAGGCGACCACGGCGAGGAGCAGCAGCGGCAGAGCCAGCCGCCCGGAGCCUGGAGCGCGCAUCGUGGUCUGGGCUUGGACCUGGGGGGGUCUGGACUUCAGCAGGAUUUGAUGUCCUUCCCUCCACCGCGCCACUGGCGAAGCGCUGCGGUCCUCCUCAGCCCUCCUCCUGCUGUCUGACUCCAGUGACUGACGGAGGGUGGGUCGUGGCUGAAAUGUGACCUGGUUAGCAGAUGCACUUGUCUGAAAAAGCCCAGCGCUGGACGCGGAGAGGGAGAGAGAUUCAGAGAGGCUGCGCCAGCGGGGGCUGUGUCUGUAACUGUAGCAUCAGCAUCACGUUUGACAUCAUCAUACCUGGUUAAAAAAAAAAAAAAAAAAAAAAAAAAA